CAACAGGGAUUGCCCUAGUAACGGCGAGUGAAGCGGCAACAGCUCAAAUUUGAAAUCUGGCUUCGGCCCGAGUUGUAAUUUGCAGAGGAUGUUUAUGGUGCGGUACCUUCCGAGUUCCCUGGAACGGGACGCCACAGAGGGUGAGAGCCCCGUCUGGUUGGAUACCAAACCUGUGUUAAACUCCUUCAACGAGUCGAGUAGUUUGGGAAUGCUGCUCUAAAUGGGAGGUAAAUCUCUUCUAAAGCUAAAUACCGGCCAGAGACCGAUAGCGCACAAGUAGAGUGAUCGAAAGAUGAAAAGCACCUUGAAAAGGGGGUUAAACAGUACGUGAAAUUGUUAAAAGGGAAGCGUUUCUGACCAGACUUGUGUCGUGUGGCUCAUCCGGGGUUCUCCCCGGUGCACUCCACACGGUUCAGGCCAACAUCGGUUCUCGUUGGGGGAUAAGAACAGUAGGAACGUGGCCCUCUUCGGAGGGUGUUAUAGCCUGCUGUACGAUACCCUGAUGGGGACCGAGGACCGCGCUUCGGCUAGGAUGUUGGCGUAAUGGUCAGUAGCGACCCGUCUUGAAACACGGACCAAGGAGUCGUCCAUUAGAGCGAGCGUUUGGGUGUAAAACCCGCACGCGUAAUGAAAGUGAAAUUAGGUGAGAGCUUCGGCGCAUCAUCGACCGAUCCUGAAGUUUACGGAUGGAUUUGAGUAAGAGUUUUAACGGACGGACCCGAAAGACAGUGAACUAUGCUUGAAUAGGGUGAAGCCAGAGGAAACUCUGGUGGAGGCUCGCAGCGGUUCUGACGUGCAAAUCGAUCGUCAAAUUUGAGCAUGGGGGCGAAAGACUAAUCGA
This 841-nucleotide ribosomal RNA is filed under the name Gnomoniopsis angolensis. RNAcentral describes it as "partial 28S ribosomal RNA". It matches the Rfam family "Eukaryotic large subunit ribosomal RNA", at positions 66 to 938 of the family's 3401-position model. The record is from RNAcentral. Lineage: Eukaryota; Fungi; Ascomycota; Sordariomycetes; Diaporthales; Gnomoniaceae.